This is a non-coding RNA of Camellia sinensis, 1668 nucleotides long. The record is from RefSeq and is a predicted model, not a curated record. Lineage: Eukaryota; Viridiplantae; Streptophyta; Magnoliopsida; Ericales; Theaceae.
CCCCGGGCGCAAAACCAAAAUCCCUAAUCUCAACAUCACUGUCUCUCUUACUCUCUCGUUUCUGCACCGAUCACCCUCUCACUCUCUCGUUGUUCAUCUCAUCGCACCGAUCAUCAUCGCACAGCCGAUCUACUCACAGGUAAACUCUCUCUCUCAAUCUCUGUCUCUCUCUCUCUCCCGAUCGUUGAUUUUUUUUGUUUUAUAUAUAUAUAUAUAUAUAUCUCUGAUCUGACCUUUGAAAGCGAGGAGUUAUAGAUCAGUCCAACUUUUCCGAAACUAUUGGUUCAAUUUCUACACUUCACCGUAACUAUUAAAUUGUGUUUGUUUCGAUCUCCCUUUGUCGUGUUUCUUGAUCGAUUUUUGUCAACUAAUCUAUUAAAAUCUGUAUGUAUCAAUUUCUUGUUCUUGCUUGGGGUUUGUCUGAUUAGAAACCUGAUCUCGAGAACUCAAAGCUUGUUAGGGUUUUCACUAAUUUCUCUUAGAAAUACAGGGAUCUGAUCUCUAAACUUGUAUUUCGUGCUCUAUUUGUGUCGAAUCGAUCUCGAUGUUCUCAUGGUUCAAGAAGAAGAGGCCUCUUAGAACUAACAGAUCGAUGUGGUACUUUAACUGGUUUUAGUAAUGAGGUAUAUAUAUACAUAAAUUACUUUUUUCAAACCUAACAGAAACUAGGACUUGUUCUUCUCAUGGCUGGUGAGUUUGUUCUCUGUUUGUAUUGUACAGAUCUCACUUUCAACUCUGUUUGAAGUACAAUGAUUCAAUCUCCGUUGACAAUGUUUUAGUUACGAUAUUUUAUCUUGCUUUUUUCAUUAUGACUUCCAAUAUUGUUUUGUCCUUUGAUGUUGUUAGGGGUAAUACAACACUGGAUAGUUUGUCCAGCCCAUGACUAUUGUCUUGUGUUAAAUAUGUUUCUUAAUUUUUGUAACCAUCCCCUGUUUGAAGAUGUUUUCAAAUUUUGUACUUCAUAUUAAUUAAAAUUCACAGUUUGUGCUAACCUCACCUCACUGAAUUUUAGCUAUUCUAUACUUCUAAUUUUGAUGGUACUUCAUCACAAAUUUGUUUGUAGAUAGGAGGUUUAAAGUGUCAUGCACUAUGACAUUUUCUUUCUUGGUUCUUUGUAUCUUUUAUAUCCUUUUUCCUGGAACUAGAGUAGAGCAUACAAAAUAAUGUACUCAUGUUUUGUGGGUAUAGCUUUAAUUUUUGAUAGAAAGCAUAGUGUUUCAAGAUUUUAUAUGGAGGAAUACUCGCUAACAAUUUGUCAUAACCCCUCUCUUGGUAGCAGCUAAGAAGUUUAUCUCCUGAGGAUAUGCUAUGCUAUUUCAAAGAAGAUUAUCACCUCUUGAUCCAGGUUUUUUUGUUUUUGUAAAUUGAUACGGUUUAUUUUCCUAAAGCUUCUGACACACAAAUGUUAUGUGAACAAUGUGAGUCAACUUAUUUGUGACCAAAGAACACAUUUACAAGUGGAGGUUCACUUGUGAAAUUAUGAUUCAAUCAGGAAUUUAUCAAAUGGUUUCAUGACAGAAGAGAGCUCUCCUGAUGCUGCAUCAGAGGAGUUGGGUAAUGAGUACUUUAAAUCGAAAUUUGAAUAAGCAAUUGAUAGCUAUUCUAGGAGCGUUGCGUUAUGACCAACUGUAGUAGCCUGUGCAAAUUAUCUGGAAAUAAGAAGGCAAG